This 477-nucleotide ribosomal RNA is filed under the name Triticum aestivum (bread wheat). Its description in RNAcentral is "partial small subunit ribosomal RNA". The record is from RNAcentral. Lineage: Eukaryota; Viridiplantae; Streptophyta; Magnoliopsida; Poales; Poaceae.
AUGCUGAGGAGCAAGCAGCUCCCGACGUUCUAUUUCGUGCAGCUUGAGGCCAUCAGGGUGGGAGGCAAGCAGCUCAACAUACCCACCUCCGUCUUUUCGGCCGGCUCGAUCAUGGACUCCGGCACAAUCAUCACGCGCCUGCCGCGGACCGCGUACUCGGCGCUGUCGUCGGCGUUCAAGGCCGGCAUGAAGCAGUACCCGCCGGCACAGCCCAGGGCCAGGGGCAUCCUCGACACGUGCUUCGACUUCAGCGGCCAGUCCACCGUCAACAUACCGAGCGUCACACUGGUGUUCUCCGGGGGCGCCGUCAUCGACCUGGCCUUUAACGGGAUCAUUCUGGACAACUGCCUCGCCUUCGCGGCCAACCGCGAUGACAGCUCCCUCGGCACCAUUGGCAAUGUGCAGCAGCAGACGUUCGAGGUGCUCUACGACGUUGGUGGCGGCGUCGUCGGGUUCAAGGCAGGCACAUAUGUAUAA